RNAcentral lists this ribosomal RNA (253 nucleotides) under uncultured bacterium. RNAcentral describes it as "partial 16S ribosomal RNA". It matches the Rfam family "Bacterial small subunit ribosomal RNA", at positions 524 to 776 of the family's 1533-position model. The record is from RNAcentral.
UACGGAGGGUGCAAGCGUUAUCCGGAUUCACUGGGGUUAAAGGGUGCGUAGGUGGGUCUGUAAGUCAGUGGUGAAAUCUCCGGGCUUAACCCGUAAACUGCCAUUGAUACUACAGGUCUUGAAUUUUCCGGAGGUAAGCGGAAUAUGUCAUGUAGCGGUGAAAUGCUUAGAUAUGACAUAGAACACCAAUUGCGAAGGCAGCUUACUACAGGAACAUUGACACUGAGGCACGAAAGCGUGGGGAUCAAACAGG